This is a long non-coding RNA of Pan troglodytes (chimpanzee), 402 nucleotides long. RefSeq lists it as uncharacterized. Lineage: Eukaryota; Metazoa; Chordata; Mammalia; Primates; Hominidae. The transcript is spliced from 2 exons. The record is from RefSeq and is a predicted model, not a curated record.
CCGUGCAGUUCGCGCCUGUGGCCAGAGGCGGGGCGGAAGCGCGGCUGGGCGGGUCCCGCACGGUCGCCGUCCGCCUGCGCUGCUCGGAGCUCCCGGAGCACCCGGGCUGAGCCGCGCCCGCCGCAACCACCUAGAAGCCCAGCCUGGCCCUGGCACACGGUGAACCUUAAUCGAGCCCCAGUGACAAAAAGCAAGAGAAGCUGGGCUUAACUGUACCAGAAUUCACGGCAGGGCGAUGUCAGCCAUGUUUCCUGAGCCUAUCAACCACCGCCACCAGCAUCACCAACAAUAUCUACCUGUAUUUACAGAUUUUAGUGAAGAAAUCCUACAGUAAAAGAUUUUGAAAAAUGACUUUCCCCAAUGUAUCUCUUGAAUAAAUACGGACAUUGAUAUGCCUUAUAA